UAAAUAAUUAUAUAAUUUUAUAAUUAAAUUUAACUCCCCCCAUUUAAUUAAAUAUUGAGAGGCUAAAAACUUAAGACAAAAAAAUUUUACUUAAAAAAUUUUAAAAAAAACUAGGAUUAGAUACCCUAUUAUUAAAUACAUAACAAAAAAAUUUCAUUAUUAAAUGUUAAAUCAUCAAAUUGAAAAAAUUUGGCGGUAUUUUAUUAUUAGAGAAAUUUAUUUUUAAUAGAUACACAACUAUAAUACCAACUUAAAUCUAAUAUUUAUAUAUUGUUGUUUUUAAAUUAAAUUUUUAAAUAUUAAUUAACUUAUUUAUAAUAAAAAAACUAUUCAAAUCAAAAUCUAAUUAAUGUUUAAGAAAAAAAGAAUUUCAAUUUUAAAAUAAUAAAUUUUAUAAAUUAAUUUUAUAAAAUAAAAAGAAUUUAAAAAUAAAGUAAAUUAAAUAUAUUUACUUGAAUAAAAAUUUAAAAUAUGCACAUAUCGCCCGUCAAUUCUCUCCUUAGAAUAAGUCGUAACAAAGUAAAAAUAUUGGAAAAUAUUUUUAGAAUAAAAUUUUAGUUUAAUUAAAAAUAUAAUAUUUACAUUAUUAAGAUAUAAAAUAAAUAUAAAUUUU
This 613-nucleotide ribosomal RNA is filed under the name Euurobracon breviterebrae. RNAcentral's name for it is "partial 12S ribosomal RNA". Lineage: Eukaryota; Metazoa; Arthropoda; Insecta; Hymenoptera; Braconidae. The record is from RNAcentral.